GGUGGUUACUGCUUAGAUGUAGCACUUUACCGAAUCCGUCCGGCGGUGCCUCUAACCGGGUGUCGUCGGUGGUCGGUACGUUUACUUUGAAAAAAUUAGAGUGCUCAAAGCAGACAUAUCGUCUGAAUACUGUUGCAUGGAAUAAUGAAAUAGGACUUUGGUUCUAUUUUGUUGGUCUCCGGAACCAAGGUAAUGAUUAAGAGGGACAGACGGAGGCAUUAGUAUUGCGACGCUAGAGGUGAAAUUCUUGGACCGUCGCAAGACUAACAAAAGCGAAAGCAUUUGCCCAAGAAUGUUUUCAUUAAUCAAGAACGAAAGUUAGAGGUUCGAAGGCGAUCAGAUACCGCCCUAGUUCUAACCAUAAACGAUGCCAACCAGCAAUCAGCCCUGAGUUGUUUAUGACUCGGCUGGCGGCUUCCGGGAAACCAAAGUUUUUUCGGUUCCAGGGGAAGUAUGGUUGCAAAGCUGAAACUUAAAGGAAUUGACGGAAGGGCACCACCAGGAGUGGAGCCUGCGGCUUAAUUUGACUCAACACGGGAAAACUCACCCGGCCCGGACACUGGAAGGAUUGACAGAUUGAGAGCUCUUUCUUGAUUCAGUGGGUGGUGGUGCAUGGCCGUUCUUAGUUGGUGGAGUGAUUUGUCUGGUUAAUUCCGAUAACGAACGAGACUCUAGCCUACUAAAUAGUCGCGGGCGUUCUUGUACCGCCCGUCGGCUUCUUAGAGGGACAGGCGG
Molecule: ribosomal RNA, 735 nt
Filed under: uncultured eukaryote
Lineage: Eukaryota
Description: SSU rRNA
Rfam family: Eukaryotic small subunit ribosomal RNA
Source: RNAcentral